UACAGAGGGGGCAAGCGUUGUUCGGAAUUACUGGGCGUAAAGGGCGCGUAGGUGGCCUUCUAAGUUGAACGUGAAAUCCCUGGGCUCAACCCAGGAACUGCGUCCAAGACUGGGAGGCUUGAAUCCGGGAGAGGGAUGCGGAAUUCCAGGUGUAGCGGUGAAAUGCGUAGAUAUCUGGAGGAACACCGGCGGCGAAGGCGGCAUCCUGGACCGGCAUUGACGCUGAGGCGCGAAAGCCAGGGGAGCAAACGGG
RNAcentral lists this ribosomal RNA (253 nucleotides) under uncultured bacterium. RNAcentral's name for it is "partial 16S ribosomal RNA". It matches the Rfam family "Bacterial small subunit ribosomal RNA", at positions 524 to 776 of the family's 1533-position model. The record is from RNAcentral.